RNAcentral lists this ribosomal RNA (254 nucleotides) under uncultured bacterium. RNAcentral describes it as "partial 16S ribosomal RNA". It matches the Rfam family "Bacterial small subunit ribosomal RNA", at positions 524 to 776 of the family's 1533-position model. The record is from RNAcentral.
UACGUAGGGGGCGAGCGUUGUCCGGAUUUAUUGGGCGUAAAGAGCUCGUAGGCGGUUUGGCAAGUCGGGUGUGAAAACUCCGGGCUCAACUCGGAGACGCCACUCGAUACUGCCAUGACUCGAGUCCGGUAGGGGAGUGCGGAAUUCCUGGUGUAGCGGUGAAAUGCGCAGAUAUCAGGAGGAACACCGGCGGCGAAGGCGGCGCUCUGGGCCGGAACUGACGCUGAGGAGCGAAAGCGUGGGUAGCAAACAGG